Molecule: ribosomal RNA, 253 nt
Filed under: uncultured bacterium
Lineage: Bacteria
Description: partial 16S ribosomal RNA
Rfam family: Bacterial small subunit ribosomal RNA
Source: RNAcentral
UACGUAGGGUGCGAGCGUUGUCCGGAAUUACUGGGCGUAAAGAGCUCGUAGGUGGUUUGUCGCGUUGUCCGUGAAAACUCACAACUCAAUUGUGGGCGUGCGGGCGAUACGGGCAGACUGGAGUACUGCAGGGGAGACUGGAAUUCCCGGUGUAGCGGUGAAAUGCGCAGAUAUCGGGAGGAACACCAGUAGCGAAGGCGGCACUCUGGGCCGUGACUGACGCUGAGGAGCGAAAGCGUGGGUAGCAAACAGG